RNAcentral lists this ribosomal RNA (650 nucleotides) under uncultured bacterium. RNAcentral describes it as "bacterial SSU rRNA". It matches the Rfam family "Bacterial small subunit ribosomal RNA", at positions 68 to 735 of the family's 1533-position model. The record is from RNAcentral.
GGGCGGAGUCUUCGGUGACUGAGUAGAGUGGCGAACGGGUGAGUAGCGCGUGGGUAACCUGCCCUGAAGAGGGGGAUAACCCGGGGAAACCCGGGCUAAUACCGCAUACGCCCUUUGAUCGAGAGGUGAAAGGGGAAAGCUUUCGAGCGUUUCAGGAGGGGCCCGCGUCCGAUUAGCUGGUAGGGGAGGUAAGAGCUUCCCUAGGCGACGAUCGGUAGCCGGUCUGAGAGGACGGACGGCCACACUGGACUGAGACACGGCCCAGACUCCUACGGGAGGCAGCAGUGGGGAAUUUUGCGCAAUGGGGGCAACCCUGACGCAGCAACGCCGCGUGGAGGAAGAAGGCUUUCGAGUCGUAAACUCCUGUCCCCGGGGACGAAGCAGUGACGGUACCCGGGGAGGAAGCCCCGGCUAACUCCGUGCCAGCAGCCGCGGUAAUACGGGGGGGGCGAGCGUUGUUCGGAACUACUGGGCGUAAAGGGCGCGCAGGCGGCGGCAGAAGUUCCGGGUGAAAGCCCCCGGCUCAACCGGGGAAGGUCCUGGAAAACCAUGCGGCUGGAGUGCUGGAGAGGCCAGCGGAAUUUCGGGUGUAGCGGUGAAAUGCGUAGAUAUCCGAAGGAACACCGGAGGCGAAGGCGGCUGGCUGGACA